CGGGUGAUCAGUGGCGAACGGGUGAGUAACACGUGAGCAACCUACCCUUCACUCUGGGAUAAGCCUUGGAAACGGGGUCUAAUACCGGAUACGAGACGCACGGGCAUCUGUAGCGUCUGGAAAGAUUUAUCGGUGGAGGAUGGGCUCGCGGCCUAUCAGCUUGUUGGUGGGGUAAUGGCCUACCAAGGCGACGACGGGUAGCCGGCCUGAGAGGGCGACCGGCCACACUGGGACUGAGACACGGCCCAGACUCCUACGGGAGGCAGCAGUGGGGAAUAUUGCACAAUGGGCGAAAGCCUGAUGCAGCGACGCCGCGUGCGGGAUGACGGCCUUCGGGUUGUAAACCGCUUUCAGCAGGGAAGAAGCGAAAGUGACGGUACCUGCAGAAGAAGCGCCGGCUAACUACGUGCCAGCAGCCGCGGUAAUACGUAGGGCGCAAGCGUUGUCCGGAAUUAUUGGGCGUAAAGAGCUCGUAGGCGGUUUGUCGCGUCUGCUGUGAAAACCUCAGGCUCAACCUGGGGCUUGCAGUGGGUACGGGCAGACUAGAGUGCGGUAGGGGUGACUGGAAUUCCUGGUGUAGCGGUGGAAUGCGCAGAUAUCAGGAGGAACACCGAUGGCGAAGGCAGGUCACUGGGCCGCAACUGACGCUGAGGAGCGAAAGCAUGGGGAGCGAACAGGAUUAGAUACCCUGGUAGUCCAUGCCGUAAACGUUGGGCACUAGGUGUGGGGUCCAUUCCACGGAUUCCGUGCCGCAGCAAACGCAUUAAGUGCCCCGCCUGGGGAGUACGGCCGCAAGGCUAAAACUCAAAGAAAUUGACGGGGGCCCGCACAAGCGGCGGAGCAUGCGGAUUAAUUCGAUGCAACGCGAAGAACCUUACCAAGGCUUGACAUACACCGGAAAAGUGCAGAGAUGUGCUCCCCGCAAGGUCGGUGUACAGGUGGUGCAUGGUUGUCGUCAGCUCGUGUCGUGAGAUGUUGGGUUAAGUCCCGCAACGAGCGCAACCCUCGUCCCAUGUUGCCAGCGGGUUAUGCCGGGGACUCAUGGGAGACUGCCGGGGUCAACUCGGAGGAAGGUGGGGAUGACGUCAAAUCAUCAUGCCCCUUAUGUCUUGGGCUUCACGCAUGCUACAAUGGCCGGUACAAAGGGCUGCGAUACCGCGAGGUGGAGCGAAUCCCAAAAAGCCGGUCUCAGUUCGGAUUGGGGUCUGCAACUCGACCCCAUGAAGUCGGAGUCGCUAGUAAUCGCAGAUCAGCAACGCUGCGGUGAAUACGUUCCCGGGCCUUGUACACACCGCCCGUCAAGUCAUGAAAGUCGGUAAC
Molecule: ribosomal RNA, 1320 nt
Filed under: Cellulomonas sp.
Lineage: Bacteria; Bacillati; Actinomycetota; Actinomycetes; Micrococcales; Cellulomonadaceae
Description: bacterial SSU rRNA
Rfam family: Bacterial small subunit ribosomal RNA
Source: RNAcentral